AGAGUUUUGGAUCUGGCUCAGAUUGAACGCUGGCGGCAUGCUUUACACAUGCAAGUCGAACGGCAGCGAGGAGAAGCUUGCUUCUCUGUCGGCGAGUGGCGAACGGGUGAGUAUAGCAUCGGAACGUGCCAAGUAGUGGGGGAUAACCAAACGAAAGUUUGGCUAAUACCGCGUAAGCUCCAAGGAGGAAAGUAGGGGACCUAAAUAAGGCCUUACGCUAUUUGAUCGGCCGAUGUCGGAUUAGCUAGUUGGUGGGGUAAUGGCUCACCAAGGCAAUGAUCCGUAGCGGGUCUGAGAGGACGAUCCGCCACACUGGGACUGAGACACGGCCCAGACUCCUACGGGAGGCAGCAGUGGGGAAUUUUGGACAAUGGGGGAAACCCUGAUCCAGCCAUGCCGCGUGUAUGAAGAAGGCCUUUGGGUUGUAAAGUACUUUUGUUAGGGAAGAAAAGCUAGUUUUUAAUAAAAAUUAGUGAUGACGGUACCUAAAGAAUAAGCACCGGCUA
RNAcentral lists this ribosomal RNA (506 nucleotides) under uncultured Neisseriales bacterium. Its description in RNAcentral is "bacterial SSU rRNA". It matches the Rfam family "Bacterial small subunit ribosomal RNA", at positions 8 to 499 of the family's 1533-position model. The record is from RNAcentral. Lineage: Bacteria; Pseudomonadati; Pseudomonadota; Betaproteobacteria; Neisseriales.